GACACCAACAAGAGAACAUGUGUUAGAGAUGCAAGCAAUUAGUUAAUAUAUUACAACUUCCAACCUCUGAGCAAAACAGGCAACAAAAAUUUCCUCUUGACAAAAAGCUAUACAGAUAAGAUCAGCUUCAUUCCCACACAAUGCCACGGCCCUGCCUUGGAGCAGCCCCGAAGGAGUCUGGGAGGGAGGGAGGGAGGGUCGGGGACUCAGGGGUCUGUGGGGUGUGCGCCCCAGGGGUAGGUGGCUGCUGGGCUCCGGAGUGGAGAAGUGGAGAUUGAAAUGAAAGAAGUGCCCCAUGGAUCCCGGUCACGAAGCUGGCUGCCUGCUUCUUGCUGGGGCUUUCUAAUGAAACUGAAGGGAAAAUGAAUUCUCAUUGCUGUUUUCAAAGGAGAGAAGGUGCCUGCAAAAGGAAAUGGACUCAGAAAGACACGGAGCUUGCCAAGGUUACACAGCCAGGAAGUGACAGGGUCUGGACUUGGACCCAGAGCCUACACAUUCUAACCGCCGCUCAGCAUUGUUCCUGUCUUAGUCUGCAACCUGGAAAAGAUGCCGCCUCGGCUCCCCGGGCACACAGCAGCAGAAGCAAACAGAGAAGGAGCCAGGUGCCUCCGCGGAUGUCAUCUCACAUCUUUCCAGGACCGACCCUGCCAAGUGCAUGUUAACCGCAGCCUCAUCUCACAGGUGUGCAAACUGAGGCCCAACGAGCGCUGAGCAGACUGCCCCUCAGGCCCCCCGGGGAGAUGGGCACCCAGGCGUCCACGGCUCUUCACCAGGACUCGAAGCUGAUGUUCACACGCGUGUCCCCGGGAACCUGUGUGGCUUGUUUUCUCCCACCGCUGGAGACACCUCCAGGGCACCUCUGAGGCAUCCCUAGAGCUCCAGGGAGCACCAUUUGAAACAACACUUUCCCAGGAUCCAUGGGCGUAAGCAGAAUGACAUUCACUUCCUAAAAUCUGCCUCCCCUAAGCCAGGCCUGGAUGAGCUCUGGCCCGGCCUCUCCGUUCCUGGACCGUCUCUCCCUACAACCCAUCCUCAUCCUUCAAGGCAACAGGGUCC
Myotis brandtii (Brandt's bat) is the source of this 1056-nucleotide long non-coding RNA. RefSeq lists it as uncharacterized. The transcript has 6 exons. NCBI's taxonomy places the organism in Eukaryota, Metazoa, Chordata, Mammalia, Chiroptera, Vespertilionidae. The record is from RefSeq and is a predicted model, not a curated record.